Molecule: ribosomal RNA, 667 nt
Filed under: Rhizopus arrhizus
Lineage: Eukaryota; Fungi; Mucoromycota; Mucoromycetes; Mucorales; Rhizopodaceae
Description: eukaryotic LSU rRNA
Rfam family: Eukaryotic large subunit ribosomal RNA
Source: RNAcentral
GAGGAAAAGAAAAUAACAAUGAUUUCCCUAGUAACGGCGAGUGAAGAGGAAAGAGCUCAAAGUUGGAACCUGUUUGGCCUAGCUAAACCGGAUUGUAGACUGUAGAAGUGUUUUCCAGGCAAGCCGAGUAAAUAAGUCCUUUGGAACAGGGCAUCAUAGAGGGUGAGAAUCCCGUCUUUGGCUUGAGCAUUUGCCUUUUGUGAUACGCUUUCAAAGAGUCAGGUUGUUUGGGAAUGCAGCCUAAAUUGGGUGGUAAAUCUCACCUAAAGCUAAAUAUUGGCGAGAAACCGAUAGCGAACAAGUACCGUGAGGGAAAGAUGAAAAGAACUUUGAAAAGAGAGUUAAACAGUAUGUGAAAUUGUUAAAAGGGAACCGUUUGGAGCCAGACUGGCUUGUCUGUAAUCAAUCUAGGCUUCGGCCUGGAUGCACUUGCAGGCUAUGCCUGCCAACGACAAUUUGACUUGAGGGAAAAAACUAAGGGAAAUGUGGCCCACUUGUGGGUGUUAUAGUCCCUUAGAAAAUACCUUGGGUUGGAUUGAGGAACGCAGCGAAUGCUUUUUGGCGAGUUUUCCAGGAAGGUUUUCUGAGGUACUACGGUAUCAAGGUUGAUCUUUUUGGUUAUACUUCUAUUCGCUUAGGUUGUUGGCUUAAUGACUCUAAAUGACCC